RNAcentral lists this long non-coding RNA (927 nucleotides) under Castor canadensis (American beaver). Its description in RNAcentral is "lncRNA (ENSCCNG00000023848.1)". Lineage: Eukaryota; Metazoa; Chordata; Mammalia; Rodentia; Castoridae. The record is from RNAcentral.
CUCUUUCCAAAAAAAAAAAAAAAAUCCCAUUGCUGCAAUGGGCAUACAAAUGCUACCCUAUUUUAAAUGUAGGUGGCGUAUGUGUUCGUGUUUUAAUGUAUUCAGAGCCAUUGGGCAAUAAGCAGUCCAGAACAUUGAAAACUCAAGCAGGUAAAGCACCUCACAACCCUUAGUUUCUAGAAUUACUUAAAGAACCUUUUAUAUUGAUGCAUCUCUAAACUUUAAAUUUGCAAGGCUUACAAGCUGUCUAGUUAAGGUUGUAAAAUUAUGUAUUCAUGAUUAUAGGAAUAGGUAGAGAAGGAAACAACAGAAAAUGACUCCUUGAGAUGGCAAUGGCUCAGUGUUUAAAUAAUUGCUCUUUCUUCUUUCUAGUUUUAAUUUUCCUAGCUUAGCAUGAGCAUUGAUCAAACAUUGUUUGAUUUUUUGUGGUUGAGAUUUUUUUUUUAACCCUGAGUUUUGAGGAAGGGGAGACCUGGGGUAGACAUGAAAAAGUUGGCUCACAUGUGAAGAUAGGAACUGUUGAAGAGAAAGUUUUUCUGUUUAAUCUAAACAGUAAGCAAGAACUUUUUCUAUAUACCCUUCUGCUGCAGCAGAGAAAUAAACUGGUAGGUGGCAGCAGAGAAAGGAAUUCUUCAGAUUGACGGCUAUUGACAUAAAAUCUGCAUAGGAGAAGAAAUAGAGUAUGGCAUACCAAGUGAAGGAAUGGGAUCAGAAGUAGAAACAAGACCUCAGACACCAGGAUUUUUACUCUAAAUGGUUCUCUUGAAGAGAUCCUUUGCUUACCUCGCUAACAGGAUGGAUGAAGAAGAUUUGAGUCUGUUUUUUCAAGCGAAGAAUAGAAAUACACAGAACAAGAAAGCUAUAACUCUAACCUAUUUUAGUGUUUUCUAAAAUAAAAACACGAACUGGAAAUAGAAUAAUUUGGAG